Long non-coding RNA from Lathyrus oleraceus (garden pea), 817 nucleotides. RefSeq lists it as uncharacterized. The transcript is spliced from 3 exons. The record is from RefSeq and is a predicted model, not a curated record. NCBI's taxonomy places the organism in Eukaryota, Viridiplantae, Streptophyta, Magnoliopsida, Fabales, Fabaceae.
AGAGGUAUCUGGUGCUGAAUUUGGUAGGGUGGAUUAGGAUCCAAUCCCCCACAACUGCAAAUUGGGUUAAAUAAAGGGGUUACACCAACUUAUGUACCAGAGCCCCAUGCUUAAGAGCAUAAUCACUAACCGGUCACUUUACUAUGAGUAUGUACGGAUAACGGGCUUAAUGUGAUUGCACCUGAAUGAAAAGGACUUGAUGAAAACGAAAAGAAUGCCUAGGUAUGGUGGGGUAAUGUGGAUUGAUUUGUAUUAGAGUGAAAGGAAGGAAGGAGAGAAAAGAGAGAGAGAGAGAGAAAGUGGAUCUGAAUUCUGUUAUGUAUUGAUUCUGUUUGUUAUAUAUUUUUAUUCUGUUACAGUGAAUAGGAUAUAUAUAGGUAUUAUAACCUGUGCCACUACUGGACUUAACCUACACCACACACACUAACUAACUACACGUUAGUUAUGAUGACAUGGCACUCUAGAAUAUACACUAAUACUCCCCCACAAGUUCAAGGUGGCUGCAAAGUCAGGCUUGAGGCAGACAAGUUGAGCUUGCUUCUGAGCUCCAGAAAUCUUGAACUUCAAAGACUUCCCAUAAAGGAAAGUAUUUACGCUCUUGUCAUGAAUAGAUCAAAAUGAGUCUUGAGGUCAUUACAGGGAGAGCCAGCCGUUGAGGUUACAAAUGAAGGUGUUGAUGCUGCAGGGCAUACAAUUGGUACAUUUUUGGAGGUCGUGUUCAAACUUAGGAAGGUUCUCAACCCCAAGAGUGUGAUCAAACCAACAUCACUAGCUAAAGAUUAUUUUGAAUCCACAACUAACUAGAUCGUCCGAUGCU